Molecule: long non-coding RNA, 4876 nt
Filed under: Fragaria vesca (wild strawberry)
Lineage: Eukaryota; Viridiplantae; Streptophyta; Magnoliopsida; Rosales; Rosaceae
Description: long non-coding RNA (FVES_LNC001181)
Source: RNAcentral
GGUCCUUUACUUGUAAUGCAAGCUUCUUGAAAUGAGAACUGAUAUAAAAAUAAAUACACUUCCCUCGUGUACUAUAUUUUUUUCGAGAAGAUUGCCUCGUUUAUUUAUGUCCUGUAUUUAGUAUCAUUUGUUGAGUGUGUGUGUUAUUUACAAUGACAUAAAUGAAGAGGUUUAAUUUCUUGUCUGUUCAGGAAACUGUAAGUUAGAGAAUCAGUUUUCUAUUUUACUAAGUCUUUGUUUCUGUUUAAUAAUACCUAGUCCUAAGGAGCUGUUAGAGUUAGAAUAGGACUUAUUUUGUAUUUCAAACGUGAUAGCAGCAGUAGCUAAUCACGACCUGCUUUGUAGGAGUUCUGUUAAGAUGUAAGGCUAUUUAAAGCCAAAGUUGUUCAAUAAGAAUGUAGAUCAUUCAUCCAUAUUGUUCUUGAGCUGUGAUUGUUGAGUUUUCAUUCAGGGCUUUCUAACAAUCUGGUAUCAGAGCCCUUAACGGGGCCUGAUUGUGCAUCUCGGGUUAGAGUGAAACAGUGUGUGUGUGAGUAAACAGUGUGUGUAAGAGAAGUGAUGGCAGAAGCAAGCUCAACGCAGCUGAAGCUUUUGGCUGAGAGCAACUCAGCUCCAGUAUCCAUCCCUCUAUUUGAUGGAUACUACGAUCACUGGUCAGAGCUCAUGGAGAAUUUCAUUCGCUCCAGAAAGUUGUGGCACCUCAUUGAAACUGGUGUUCCAACUCCUGUGCAAGUGCGUGAACAGGUCGCUACUUUCUCAACUGUUGUGGCAGAAGGAAGACAACAGACUGAAGCGCAAAGGAAGAGAGAAGAAGACUUGCGCCAAAGAGUUGAGCAAAUGAAGGAGGAUGAUCUGAAGGUUAAGAAUUUCCUUUUUCAAGCUAUUCAUAGGACUAUCAUGGACACAAUUCUUGAUAGGUCCUCUUCGAAGAGCAUAUGGGAUUCCAUGAAACAAAAAUAUCAUGGUUCAUCCAAGGUGAAGAGAGCUAGCAGGCAGGCACUGAAGAAAGACUUCGAGAUCUUGCAGAUGAAGGAGGAUGAGAGGAUUGAUGAGUUCUUUGCUCGGACUCUCACCAUUGUGAACAAGCUGAAAGUUCAUGGUGGUCAGAAUAUGUCACAGGUUGACAUAGUAGAGAAAAUUUUGAGGUCAUUGACUCCGAGAUUUGACUAUGUAGCAUGUUCAAUCGAGGAAUCCAAUGAUCUUGAUACAAUGACGGUUGACGAGUUGCACAGCAGUUUGCUUGUCCAUGAGCAGAGAUUGUGUAGAAUCAAUGGAGGAAUGAGAGAUGAUCAAGCUCUCAAAGUAACAUCAAGUGAAGGAGGUAAUCGAGGUAGAGGCAAUAGGGGUCGAGGACGAGGAGGCAACAUGGGAAGAGGUCGAGGAAGAGGCAUUUUUAACAAGGCCAUGGUAGAAUGUUACAAAUGUCACAAGCUUGGACAUUUUCAGUAUGAAUGUCCAACUUGGAACAAGGAGAUAAAUUAUGCAGAGGCAGAGUUCAAUGAGCAUGAAGAAAUACUACUAAUGGCUUAUGUCGAUUUGAAUGAAGGAAAAAGGGAAGAUGUGUGGUUCCUAGACUCAGGGUGCUCAAAUCAUAUGAGCGGUGAUUUGUCAAAGUUCUGUGAUUUGGAUGAACGAGUUCGGCAUCAUGUCAAACUUGGCAACAACUACAAGAUGAUGGUGCAAGGAAGAGGUAGAGUCAAGAUUGCCAUUCAUGGUGUCACCUACAGCUUUUCAGAUGUGUUUAUGUGCCAGGGUUGACUAACAAUCUCCUUAGUAUUGGUCAACUACAAGAAAGAGGGCUUGCUGUUUUGAUGCAUGAAGGGAAGUGCAGAGUAUACCAUCCUGAGAGAGGUCUCAUCAUUCAGACAACUAUGACAACCAACCGAAUGUUUGUGAUUGUUAGCCAAUACACAAGAAGAGAAGUGCUUUCACUCCAGUGUGCAAAAGCAAGAUCUAGCCAAUCUGUGGCACUGCCGGUUUGCACAUCUAAGUCACAAAGGAUUGAAGCUGCUACAGGAGAAAGAGAUGGUUAGUGGAUUGCCGAAACUUACUUCUUCAUCAUCAGUAUGUGUGAGCUGCCUUGUCGGGAAGCAGCACAGAGAUCCCAUACCAAAGAAAAGCACGUGGAGGGCUACACACAAGCUUCAACUUGUUCAUGCUGAUCUGUGUGGACCGAUAACUCCAGAAUCAAACAGCAAGAAGAGGUAUGUCCUAUGCUUUAUUGAUGACUUUAGUAGAAAAGCAUGGACAGUUUUUCUUGUUGAGAAAUCAGAAACUUUUAGCUACUUUAAAAGUUUUAAGAGCAUGGUAGAGAAGGAAUCUGGUAUGAGUAUUAAGUGCUUACGUACUGAUAGAGGAGGAGAGUUCAAUUCAAAUGAGUUUAAUCAGUUCUGUAAGGAGCAUGGUAUUAAGAGGCAGCUCACAACCGCCUACACCCCGCAACAGAAUGGGGUUGCCGAACGGAAGAAUCGCACCUUGAUGAAUCUCGUGCGCUCCAUAUUGUCAGAGAAAGAGGUACCGGAAUCUUUCUGGCCUGAGGCGGUCAAGUGGACCACUUAUGUAUUAAAUAGAAGCCCAACCUUGGCAGUGAAGAAUGCUACACCGGAGGAGAUGUGGUGUGGUGUCAAACCAACAGUAAGUCAUUUUCGGGUGUUUGGGUGUUUGGGGCAUGUUCACAUUCCAGAUGCUAAAAGAACCAAGUUAGAGGACAAGAGUCAUGCUUGUGUAUUGAUGGGGGUCAGUGAUGAGUCCAAAGCAUACCGUUUGUAUGAUCCUGUAAAGAGGAAAAUUGUAGUCAGCCGUGAUGUUGUAUUUGAGGAAGACAAAAAGUGGAGAUGGGAUGNNNNNNNNNNNNNNNNNNNNGGUGAGAUUAAGUUGAUUCAUUGCGGAACUCAUGAUCAGAUUGCUGAUGUGAUGACAAGCCACUGAAGUUGGAUGAUUUUCGGAAGUUCAGAGAGAAGCUGGGCGUGUGUGCUGUUAAAGAAUUAAACUAGCUGCUAUACUGCAGUCAGUUUAGGGGAGGGAUUGAAGAGGUUUAAUUUCUUGUCUGUUCAGGAAACUGUAAGUUAGAGAAUCAGUUUUCUAUUUUACUAAGUCUUUGUUUCUGUUUAAUAAUACCUAGUCCUAAGGAGCUGUUAGAGUUAGAAUAGGACUUAUUUUGUAUUUCAAACGUGAUAGCAGCAGUAGCUAAUCACGACCUGCUUUGUAGGAGUUCUGUUAAGAUGUAAGGCUAUUUAAAGCCAAAGUUGUUCAAUAAGAAUGUAGAUCAUUCAUCCAUAUUGUUCUUGAGCUGUGAUUGUUGAGUUUUCAUUCAGGGCUUUCUAACAAUAAAGACCAUGUGGAGGUGGAGGUGGAGGAGGCGGAGGAGGUGGAGGAGUUGGAGAUGUGAAUUCGGUGGAGGUCUAUUCUGAGUUUGAUUGAGAGAGUGCGGGUCGGUGGAUCUGGGAGGGAGGAGAUUGUGGGUUUUGGGUAAAGGAGUCUUCUUUCUUUUUUUCGAUGAAGAAGUCUUUUUUCUUGGGUGGGUCUGAGGAAAAUACAAGAAAUCUACGAUACAAUAUGUGUAUGAAAAUACGAUACAAAAGCAUAUUUAAAUUCUUUAGUCCUUUCUAAAAAUUUCAAUAAGUAUGUUAAACGAUGUAAAAUACAAUAAGAAGUGUGUUCCAAAUCUAUCAAACAUAGUCCGCCUAUUAUGUCUCCUUCAAAAUAUCAGUGUAAAUAUUACAGAGAAAAUAUGACAGUUAGCUCCUCAACAUUAUAUCAAUGGAAAAAUAGUUCAAACAAUGUCUCACAUUUUAAAGAAGCAAAGCUUUGGUAUCUCACAUUCAGAAAACUUCAAAACAAUAUCUCAUGUUCUUAUCUCGACCAAAGUUUGGUAUCUAGAACUGUUAACUUCGUUAAAAAACUGACGGCAACCAUUUUUAUUCAUGAAAUGACCGAUAUACCCUUGAGUUUGUGUUUUUAUUAUUCUUUUUAUAUAAUAAAAAAAUAAAUUCGUCAUACGGUACCUCAUCUUUUAUUAUCACAAAAAUAAAAUAUAUAUUUAGAGAAAAAAUAAUGAAUUGAAAUAUGAAGAGACAAAAAAUACCCAUAAAAAAUGGCCAGCUGACAGUUACUCUAUCAGAGGUUACGACUAAAAGUACUAAAAUUAGGUCUUCCGUUAUGUUGUUUUCAAAAUUUGAAGUACCAAAGUUUAUGAGCGAGAAAAUAUGAGGUACCGUUAUGACAAAAAAAAAAUUAUAUAAAAUGAAAAACAAAAAUAACAACUGAAGGGUAAAUUGGUCAUUUAUGAAUAAAAAUGGCUACCGUCAAUCUUUUUAACAAAGCUAACGGUUCUAGAUACCAAACUUCAGUCGAAAUAAAAACGUGGGAUACUGUUUUAAAGUUUUCUAAAUGUUAGAUACCAAAACUUUGUUUCUUUAAAAGGUGUGACACUGUUUAGACAAUUUUCCUAAUAUCAUAUUGGUACCUUAACUUAUUCAUGGGAAAAUCGUCCCAACCAUACCUGACUUUUCUCGCCUUAUAAAUUUUGGUACCUCAUGUUUCUAAAGUAUCAUAAAUUCAUAAUGGUAUCUGACAUUCUAACCCCAACCAAAAAUAAGUACCAGCUAGUCGUUAGUGUUGUCACAGAGGGUGAGAUGUGGCAUAUAUUUAAGGGAAUUUUCGUUCAUUGUACACCUAAUCUCCAUUCAAAAGAUGAAGCGGAUAAAAUGUUGGAUUAAAUUCAUUGUACACCUAUGAGGGUUGAGUUUAACUUCAUUUCACUCUAUGUUUCCUCAAUUUAAACAAGGAAAAAUUGUCCAAACAGUGUCCGACCUUUUAGAGAAACAAACCUUUGGUAUCUCAACUUUGAAAAACUUCAAAAUGGUAUCUCACGUUC